AUACGGAUGGUGCGAGCGUUGUUCGGAAUUACUGGGCGUAAAGGGCGCGUAGGCGGCGAUGUAAGUCAAAUGUGAAAGUCCUCGGCUUAACCGGGGAAGUGCAUCUGAAACUGCAUUGCUUGAGUAUGGGAGAGGAAAGUGGAAUUCCCGGUGUAGAGGUGAAAUUCGUAGGGAUCGGGAGGAAUACCGGUGGCGAAGGCGACUUUCUGGACCAAUACUGACGCUGAGGCGCGAAAGCGUGGGGAGCAAACAGGAUUAGAUACCCUAGUAGUCC
This 274-nucleotide ribosomal RNA is filed under the name uncultured bacterium. RNAcentral's name for it is "partial 16S ribosomal RNA". It matches the Rfam family "Bacterial small subunit ribosomal RNA", at positions 523 to 796 of the family's 1533-position model. The record is from RNAcentral.